GCCUGUGCUUCAAGCCGAAGAGGACGAAAGAUUUGUGAAAGAAUGGAAGAAUUACCUUGAAGAGGAGGCAAGGAUCAUGAAAGAUGUGCCAGGGUGGAAGGUUGGUGAGAGCGUAUACAACUCCGGCAAAUGGAUGCCCCCAGCAACAGGCGAGCUCCGCCCCGAUGUCUGGUGAGGGAACCUCAUCGACCUCAGCCUGUAAUGUGGUUUCUGGAUGCUGAAACAUGGUUCACUGUUGGCUCUGGUAGGAGCCGAAAUGCCAUGUCAGUUUGAAAUGUUUUUUUUACUUAAUAAAUUUCAAGUCGACAUUAAUCUGAUUUAUGAGGUAAAUCUUUUGCCGCAAGUCUGGUGGCAGGAUUGGGUGAUUAAUGUAU
RNAcentral lists this unclassified non-coding RNA (374 nucleotides) under Hevea brasiliensis (rubber tree). Lineage: Eukaryota; Viridiplantae; Streptophyta; Magnoliopsida; Malpighiales; Euphorbiaceae. The record is from RNAcentral.